GAAUACGAGCUUUGGACAAUGGUCCGAAGCGGAAAGGCCCUCAGGGGUCGUCCGGAGAUGAGCCUGCGGUCCAUUAGCUAGUUGGUGUGGUAAAGGCGCACCAAGGCAACGAUGGAUAGCCGGCCUGAGAGGGUGAUCGGCCACACUGGGACUGAGACACGGCCCAGACUCCUACGGGAGGCAGCAGCUAAGAAUCUUCCGCAAUGGGCGAAAGCCUGACGGAGCGACGCCGCGUGAACGAUGAAUGUCGUGAGAUUGUAAAGUUCUUUUCCUGGGGAGGAAUAAGGUUCGGAGGGAAUGCCGAAUCGAUGACGUGAACCGGGGAAUAAGCCCCGGCUAAUUCCGUGCCAGCAGCCGCGGUAACACGGAAGGGGCAAGCGUUGUUCGGAUUUAUUGGGCGUAAAGGGCGUGUAGGCGGCACUACAAGUCUGGUGUGAAAUACUCCGGCUCAACCGGAAAACGCGCUGGAAACUGUAGUGCUUGAGUUUAGGAGGGGGAACUGGAAUUCCAGGUGUAGGGGUGAAAUCUGUAGAGAUCUGGAAGAACACCGGAGGCGAAGGCGAGUUCCUGGCCAUAAACUGACGCUGAGGCGCGAAAGCGUGGGGAGCGAACAGGAUUAGAUACCCUGGUAGUCCACGCCGUAAACGAUGUGCACUAGGUGUCGGGGAUGAUGAUCCUCGGUGCCGCAGCUAACGCGUUAAGUGCACCGCCUGGGGAGUAUGCUCGCAAGGGUGAAACUCAAAGGAAUUGACGGGGGCCCGCACAAGCGGUGGAGCAUGUGGUUUAAUUCGAUACGCGAGAAACCUUACCAGGGUUUGACAUAUAGUGGACGGCGGUAGAGAUACCGCUUCUCUUCGGAGUCGCUAUACAGGUGCUGCAUGGCUGUCGUCAGCUCGUGCCGUGAGGUGUUGGGUUAAGUCCCGCAACGAGCGCAACCCCUGCUGUCCGUUACUAACAGGUAAUGCUGAGGACUCAGACGGUACUGCCGGUGACAAACCGGAGGAAGGUGGGGACGGCGUCAAGUCAUCAUGGCCCUUAUGUCCUGGGCUACACACGUGCUACAAUGGCCGGUACAGAGCGCUGCAAAACCGCGAGGUUGAGCAAAUCGCAGAAAACCGGUCCCAGUUCGGAUUGAAGUCUGAAACUCGACUUCAUGAAGGUGGAAUCGCUAGUAAUCGCGCAUCAGCAUGGCGCGGUGAAUAUGUUCCCGGGCCUUGUACACACCGCCCGUCACACCACCCGAGUUGGGGGUACCCGAAGUCGCUCGUCUAACCUGUAAGGGAGGACGGUGCCGAAGGUAUGCCUGGUAAGGGGGGUGAAGUCGAAACAAGGUA
RNAcentral lists this ribosomal RNA (1334 nucleotides) under metagenome. RNAcentral describes it as "bacterial SSU rRNA". It matches the Rfam family "Bacterial small subunit ribosomal RNA", at positions 171 to 1498 of the family's 1533-position model. The record is from RNAcentral.